AGGGCUUGCCCUGGGGCAGAGCCGCGAACGGGUGAGUAACACGUGGGUAACGUGCCCCGAUGACUGGGACNANCCCGGGGAAACCCGGGCUAAUACCGGAUAUGCCCCCUCACAUCAGUGAGGUGUGUAAAGGAAGCUUCGGCCUCCGCAUCGGGAUCGGCCCGCGGCGCAUUAGCUUGUUGGUGAGGUAACGGCUCACCGAGGCAGCGAUGCGUAGCUGGUCUGAGAGGACGAUCAGCCACACUGGGACUGAGACACGGCCCAGACUCCUACGGGAGGCAGCAGUGGGGAAUCUUGCACAAUGCGCGAAAGCGUGAUGCAGCAACGCCGCGUGCGGGAAGACGGCCUUCGGGUUGUAAACCGCUUUCAGUUGGGACGAAGGUCGAGUGGUUAAUAGCCAUUUCGGCUGACGGUACCUUCACAAGAAGCCCCGGCUAACUACGUGCCAGCAGCCGCGGUAAUACGUAGGGGGCAAGCGUUGUCCGGAAUCAUUGGGCGUAAAGAGCGUGUAGGCGGCCUGAUAAGUCGGUUGUGAAAGUCAAGGGCUCAACCCUUGAAUGCCGACCGAUACUGUCAGGCUAGAGUCCGGACGAGGCGAGUGGAAUUCCUGGUGUAGCGGUGAAAUGCGCAGAUAUCAGGAGGAACACCUAUGGCGAAGGCAGCUCGCUGGGACGGUACUGACGCUGAGACGCGAAAGCGUGGGGAGCGAACAGGAUUAGAUACCCUGGUAGUCCACGCUGUAAACGAUGGGCACUAGGUGUGGGGGGUGUCGACUCCCUCCGUGCCGAAGCUAACGCAUUAAGUGCCCCGCCUGGGGAGUACGGCCGCAAGGCUAAAACUCAAAGGAAUUGACGGAAUCGA
This 861-nucleotide ribosomal RNA is filed under the name uncultured bacterium. RNAcentral's name for it is "bacterial SSU rRNA". It matches the Rfam family "Bacterial small subunit ribosomal RNA", at positions 75 to 922 of the family's 1533-position model. The record is from RNAcentral.